Molecule: ribosomal RNA, 722 nt
Filed under: uncultured Fusobacterium sp.
Lineage: Bacteria; Fusobacteriati; Fusobacteriota; Fusobacteriia; Fusobacteriales; Fusobacteriaceae
Description: bacterial SSU rRNA
Rfam family: Bacterial small subunit ribosomal RNA
Source: RNAcentral
GAUGAACGCUGACAGAAUGCUUAACACAUGCAAGUCUACUUGAACUUCGGUUUGGGUGGCGGACGGGUGAGUAACGCGUAAAGAACUUGCCUCACAGUUAGGGACAACAUUUGGAAACGAAUGCUAAUACCUGAUAUUAUGAUUUUAGGGCAUCCUAAGAUUAUGAAAGCUAUAUGCGCUGUGAGAGAGCUUUGCGUCCCAUUAGCUAGUUGGAGAGGUAACGGCUCACCAAGGCGAUGAUGGGUAGCCGGCCUGAGAGGGUGAACGGCCACAAGGGGACUGAGACACGGCCCUUACUCCUACGGGAGGCAGCAGUGGGGAAUAUUGGACAAUGGACCAAAAGUCUGAUCCAGCAAUUCUGUGUGCACGAUGACGUUUUUCGGAAUGUAAAGUGCUUUCAGUUGGGAAGAAAAAAAUGACGGUACCAACAGAAGAAGUGACGGCUAAAUACGUGCCAGCAGCCGCGGUAAUACGUAUGUCACAAGCGUUAUCCGGAUUUAUUGGGCGUAAAGCGCGUCUAGGUGGUUAUGUAAGUCUGAUGUGAAAAUGCAGGGCUCAACUCUGUAUUGCGUUGGAAACUGCAUGACUAGAGUACUGGAGAGGUAAGCAGAACUACAAGUGUAGAGGUGAAAUUCGUAGAUAUUUGUAGGAAUGCCGAUGGGGAAGCCAGCUUACUGGACAGAUACUGACGCUAAAGCGCGAAAGCGUGGGUAGCAAACAGG